Molecule: ribosomal RNA, 500 nt
Filed under: uncultured bacterium
Lineage: Bacteria
Description: partial 16S ribosomal RNA
Rfam family: Bacterial small subunit ribosomal RNA
Source: RNAcentral
AUUGAACGCUGGCGGAAUGCUUUACACAUGCAAGUCGAACGGCAGCACGGACUUCGGUCUGGUGGCGAGUGGCGAACGGGUGAGUAAUGUAUCGGAACGUGCCCAGUCGUGGGGGAUAACGUAGUGAAAAUUACGCUAAUACCGCAUACGAUCUAUGGAUGAAAGCGGGGGAUCGCAAGACCUCGCGCGAUUGGAGCGGCCGAUAUCAGAUUAGGCAGUUGGUGGGGUAAAGGCCUACCAAGCCAACGAUCUGUAGCUGGUCUGAGAGGACGACCAGCCACACUGGAACUGAGACACGGUCCAGACUCCUACGGGAGGUAGCAGUGGGGAAUUUUGGACAAUGGGCGAAAGCCUGGUCCAGCCAUUCCGCGUGCAGGAUGAAGGCCCUCGGGUUGUAAACUGCUUUUGUACAGAACGAAAAGGUUUCUACUAAUACUAGGAGCUCAUGACGGUACUGUAAGAAUAAGCACCGGCUAACUACGUGCCAGCAGCCGCCGCGG